AUUGAACGCUGGCGGCAGGCCUAACACAUGCAAGUCGAGCGGAUGAAGGGAGCUUGCUCCUGGAUUCAGCGGCGGGCGGGUGAGUAAUGCCUAGGAAUCUGCCUGGUAGUGGGGGAUAACGUCCGGAAACGGGCGCUAAUACCGCAUACGUCCUGAGGGAGAAAGUGGGGGAUCUUCGGACCUCACGCUAUCAGAUGAGCCUAGGUCGGAUUAGCUAGUUGGUGGGGUAAAGGCCUACCAAGGCGACGAUCCGUAACUGGUCUGAGAGGAUGAUCAGUCACACUGGAACUGAGACACGGUCCAGACGCCUACGGGAGGCAGCAGUGGGGAAUAUUGGACAAUGGGCGAAAGCCUGAUCCAGCCAUGCCGCGUGUGUGAAGAAGGUCUUCGGAUUGUAAAGCACUUUAAGUUGGGAGGAAGGGCAGUAAGUUAAUACCUUGCUGUUUUGACGUUACCAACAGAAUAAGCACCGGCUAACUUCGU
RNAcentral lists this ribosomal RNA (483 nucleotides) under uncultured bacterium. RNAcentral's name for it is "partial 16S ribosomal RNA". It matches the Rfam family "Bacterial small subunit ribosomal RNA", at positions 30 to 506 of the family's 1533-position model. The record is from RNAcentral.